GGCGAGGUGGCCGAGUGCUUAAGGCGAUGGACUGCUAAUCCAUUGAGGUCUGCCAGCGUGGGUUCGUGUCCCACCCUCGUCG
This is a non-coding RNA of Rhipicephalus microplus (southern cattle tick), 82 nucleotides long. The record is from the annotation of a RefSeq genome assembly. NCBI's taxonomy places the organism in Eukaryota, Metazoa, Arthropoda, Arachnida, Ixodida, Ixodidae.